AAAGCAGUGUUUCUCAACUGGUGGGUCGCAGGUCUAUUCGGACUGGGUCACGUACAGCAGGGAAAGAACAAUGCCAUGGUUCUCCCAUUGAAGAUAUUUCGGUGGCCGCCCAAGUGAUAGCCUAUUUAGGACUGCCGAGGCAGAUUUAAUGAUAAUCUCGCAAUCAGCUAAAGGCUUCUCAUCUGCACUUUCGCACGAGUAACGGAACCAGCUCGCACUAAUGAUCUGCUCUGCUCUCUGACACGCGCAUGCAACAACCGGGCUUCCCUCAAUAUUGCGGAGCGCAGACCUCAAAACUGAUGUGACCAACUUCAAUUCUAGUGAGACGUUUCUAGUUUAAAGCAUUACGGAGGAAGUCAAGUCAAACCCAUCAAACAGCAGGCAGCCCUGACAUGCCAAACAGCACUGAGGAGGAAGAGCAACACUGUGCUAUGCGGUUACACGGCCCGGAUCACAACCUGCUUUUGUCACGGACUGACCGUAGUGCUGAAAGGACUGACCAUAGUGCAGAAUUCGUGAGUCAGAGGGACACAAUUUUGAUCCAGGCUGAUAUGAUGUGCAUUUCAGAAGAAGAUCUAUGAGCACUCUACAGGCAAAUGCAUUUCACAGGAAGAAAUCACUGCAUUUGCACAAGUUUUGUAAGUACUAUUGGGUCCAAACUGUGGUAUGUUUGCAUCAUCAACAACACAAGUACCGCCAGUAGCUUUUUACUACUGUAUCAAGGUAACAACUCAGAAUGAUAAGCUUCCCUGAUAUAUUCAUGUUUCUAUCCCUUUGGAUUUGUCACCAAAACUUUACACGCACUGAACAGCCACUGAAUUUCUCUUCCACAGGUCCAUUGCAAGAGAUGCGAAGAAUGAGAACUAUUCUCCAAAGCCAAUUUAUUCGGAGACAAGCUGCUAUGAGAAAUGAAGUUUAAUGCAAUAAGGGUGAGAGGGAGCAUGCAAAGAUGCAAAUAUACUUAAUCAACACUGGUUCACAUAUCUGUGAUUUAGAACGAUUUAGGGCAUAGUAACUACAAAUUAAACCAGAAUUCACAAGAACUGACUGCAGACCAGUGUUUCCUAACCUGUUUUGCCAUUAAGAACCCCCACAGCACCAUCAGUAAGGCUCAAGUACCCCUUCAUCAACACAAAACCAAAGAUGUGUUCCAAACACCAAAUAUUAGGGCAAGCUCUCGAUUCACUUCGAUUCCAAUUUCGAUUCGAUUUGAUUCAAUAUCAGUUCAUGUGGAUAUAUUUCAGUUAUAAUGUUCCUUUUGCUUACAUAUGAAAGAAAAUCUCUCCCAGCUAAUGAUGUUAAUUAUCCAGGCGUCCUUCUUACUAGGUACAUUAUGAAAAUAUUAAUUUGACUAAUUAUACUUUUAGUUUUUCAUCAUUUUGGUCACAUUUUGGCUUUUAAAAAAUUAACAAAUCCAUAUAUUCAAUAAAUUAGAUAUUAUAUUUCAUAUCUUAAUUUUUGUUACACGUUUAUUGUUUAAUUGCAUAAUUUGUACAGUUUACAACUGUUUACAUUGAUUUGUUGGACACAUGCUUAAAAUAUUUCAUAUAUUAUUUUUGUUACAUGUUUAUUGAUUAAUUGCUUAAUUUGUACUAUUUACAAGUAUUUACAUUGACUAAAAAAAGUAAAGCUCCUAUCUACUUGAAUAUGGAAAGAAAUCUCCAAAACAGAUGGUCAAGAUUAUGAUUAAAGAACAUAUUUAAAAUCACCAGUAAAUCUGACAACAAUAGUAUCAUAAAUUGUGCUUCUUUUGCUCAGAUCACGCUAAAUAAAUCUGCCAUUUUUUUAAGCUGAUUCAACUAAUGCGCAUGAGUGUUCUUGAGUUAACUGCAGGCGAUGUCUGUAUCUAAAAGGUGAUAGUUUAUAAAUAUUUAUUUUUUGUUGUUUUUUUUCAACAACUGACUGUAAAGAACAGAAAGGGUAUUAAAAGAGACAUUAUUAAAUGACAUGGUUGUGUGGAUGUCAUCUUUGGACACACAUUAUAUGGAACAACUUUUAACUCUCAACACGCAGUGAAAGGAUCUCACUACUGAACAUUGUACCACUAGACUACACAAUUACUGUGGCCUGUACCAUGAAGCUGGUUUCGGUGACUAGCCAGGUAAGUUUUAGUUUGGUUUGCCUCAACCCCAGGUUUUAGGCACCACGAAAGUUGGUCGGCUUUUAGCAGUGUUUAUCGCCAUUGCAAUUUACGCUACACGGCUAACUUGCUCUGUAGCAGGUUUCGUUCUGGAUUACAGAUGGCUAACAGAUGCUGAACCAAUCAUCUGUGAGUAAAAUUACAUCUCUGACACAAUCAAGUCACUCUCCUUUGUCUCUUAAAGCACACUUUACAAAUAAACUCUUAGAAAUCCACAAAAUCAACUCUUCAUGAUAAAUUAUUAUAUGAGAAUCUAAAUGUAGAUUUCCAGCAGAUAGAGUGUUGUAUUUUAUUGAAAAAUUUAUUGCUUUUCAUUUACCCUCUUUAGCCAUAACAAAAAUAUUUUUGAAAAUAUAAACGUAAUAUAUUAGGCUAUCUAUAAAACAUCCAAUAAGAUGGAUUAAUAUGACACCUGCAAAAAUUAAUCAUGUUUAAAAUAU
This is a long non-coding RNA of Myxocyprinus asiaticus (Chinese sucker), 2580 nucleotides long. RefSeq lists it as uncharacterized. The transcript has 3 exons. NCBI's taxonomy places the organism in Eukaryota, Metazoa, Chordata, Actinopteri, Cypriniformes, Catostomidae. The record is from RefSeq and is a predicted model, not a curated record.